Molecule: long non-coding RNA, 508 nt
Filed under: Phascolarctos cinereus (koala)
Lineage: Eukaryota; Metazoa; Chordata; Mammalia; Diprotodontia; Phascolarctidae
Description: lncRNA (ENSPCIG00000019364.2)
Source: RNAcentral
GGACGCUCCCCCGCCCUCAAGGAGCGGAAACCACGCGACCCUGUAAGAGCAGUAGCCGUUGGCGGUCUCACACGUCGUUUAGAACGGCCCUUUCCUUCUAUUGGCUGUUAGUCCCAUCGUUUCCGAGAAUGCACUCCUUCCUCAUCUCAGUCGAUUGAAAUUCCUGGUUUCCUUCAAGACCUAUCUCACACUGCAUUUUCUGCAUGACGGUGUUCCUGAUCAUCUGAACUCCUAGUACCUUCUCCCGCAAGGCUACCUCUUACCAGGGAAGACCAGAGAGCUUUUCUUUUCAUCCGACUGAUCCUCAAAAGCCUGGCCCUCCAAAGAAUUGGAAAUUGAGAGAAUGCCCAUCAAUUGGGGGAUGGCUGAGCAAGUUGUGGUAUAUGAAUGUAAUGGAAUACUAUUGUGCUAUAAGAAAUGAUGAACAGGCUGACUUCAGAAAAACAUGGAAAGACUUAUAUGAUCUGAUGCUGAGUGAAGUGAGCAGAACCAAGAGGACUUUGUACAC